GACGAACGCUGGCGGCGUGCUUAACACAUGCAAGUCGAACGAAGAGCGAUUGAAGCUUGCUUCUAUCAAUCUUAGUGGCGAACGGGUGAGUAACGCGUAAUCAACCUGCCCUUCAGAGGGGGACAACAGUUGGGAACGACUGCUAAUACCGCAUACGAACCAAUCGCGGCAUCGGGGCUGGAUGAAAGGUGGCCGCUAUUUAUAAGCUAGCACUGAAGUAGGGGAUUGCGUCGGAUUAGCUAGUUGGAGGGGGAAAGGCCCAACAAGGCGAGGGUCCGUAGGCGGGCGGGGAGGAUGGACGGGCCAAUUGGGAACGGGACACGGCCCAGAAUCCUAAGGGAGGGAGCAGGGGGGGAUCUUCCGCAAUUGACGAAAGUCUGACGCAGCCAAGCCGCGGGAGGGAUGAAGGCCUUCGGGUUGUAAAGCUCCGUUAAUCGGGAAGAAUGGUCCUUGUGCGAAUAGCGCGAGGAUUUGACGGUACCGGAAGAGAAAGCACCGGCUAACUACGUG
Molecule: ribosomal RNA, 510 nt
Filed under: uncultured bacterium
Lineage: Bacteria
Description: partial 16S ribosomal RNA
Rfam family: Bacterial small subunit ribosomal RNA
Source: RNAcentral